RNAcentral lists this ribosomal RNA (449 nucleotides) under uncultured bacterium. RNAcentral's name for it is "partial 16S ribosomal RNA". It matches the Rfam family "Bacterial small subunit ribosomal RNA", at positions 29 to 523 of the family's 1533-position model. The record is from RNAcentral.
AGCGAACGCUGGCGGCAGGCCUAACACAUGCAAGUCGAACGAACUCUUCGGAGUUAGUGGCGGACGGGUGAGUAACACGUGGGAACGUGCCUUUAGGUUCGGAAUAACUCAGGGAAACUUGUGCUAAUACCGAAUGUGCCCUUCGGGGGAAAGAUUUAUCGCCCUUAGAGCGGCCCGCGUCUGAUUAGCUAGUUGGUGAGGUAAAGGCUCACCAAGGCGACGAUCAGUAGCUGGUCUGAGAGGAUGAUCAGCCACAUUGGGACUGAGACACGGCCCAAACUCCUACGGGAGGCAGCAGUGGGGAAUCUUGCGCAAUGGGCGAAAGCCUGACGCAGCCAUGCCGCGUGAAUGAUGAAGGUCUUAGGAUUGUAAAAUUCAUUCACCGGGGACGAUAAUGACGGUACCCGGAGAAGAAACCCCGGCUAACUUCGUGCCAGCCGCCGCCGUAA